GUGACGAAGCGACGCCGCGUGGGUGAGGAAGGCCUUCGGGUUGUAAAGCCCUGUCAGGAGUUAAGAAAUGUAAGUACGCUAAUAUCGCAUUUAUUUGACGAAGGCUCCAAAGGAAGUCACGGCUAACUCUGUGCCAGCAGCCGCGGUAAUACAGAGGUGGCAAGCGUUGUUCGGAAUUAUUGGGCGUAAAGAGCACGUAGGUGGGUUUGUAAGUCAGAUGUGAAAGCCUCCUGUUCAACGGGAGAAUUGCAUCUGAAACUGCGGAUCUUGAGUGUAGGAGGGGAGAAUGGAACUUCUGGUGGAGCGGUGAAAUGCGUAGAUAUCAGAAGGAACGCCGGCGGCGAAAGCGAUUCUCUGGCCUAUUACUGACACUCAGUGUGCGAAAGCUAGGGGAGCAAACGGGAUUAGAUACCCCGGUAGUCCUAGCCGUAAACGAU
This 437-nucleotide ribosomal RNA is filed under the name uncultured Planctomycetota bacterium. RNAcentral describes it as "bacterial SSU rRNA". It matches the Rfam family "Bacterial small subunit ribosomal RNA", at positions 383 to 810 of the family's 1533-position model. The record is from RNAcentral. Lineage: Bacteria; Pseudomonadati; Planctomycetota.